Non-coding RNA from Rheinheimera sp. A13L, 46 nucleotides. NCBI's taxonomy places the organism in Bacteria, Pseudomonadati, Pseudomonadota, Gammaproteobacteria, Chromatiales, Chromatiaceae. The record is from Rfam.
AAAAUGGCCCCAUUAGGGGCCAUUUCAACAGCAAAGAACCUGACGU